This 468-nucleotide ribosomal RNA is filed under the name uncultured bacterium. RNAcentral describes it as "partial 16S ribosomal RNA". It matches the Rfam family "Bacterial small subunit ribosomal RNA", at positions 28 to 507 of the family's 1533-position model. The record is from RNAcentral.
GACGAACGCUGGCGGCGUGCUUAACACAUGCAAGUCGAACGGAAAGGCCCUGCUUUUGUGGGGUGCUCGAGUGGCGAACGGGUGAGUAACACGUGAGUAACUUGCCCUUGACUUUGGGAUAACUUCAGGAAACUGGGGCUAAUACCGGAUAGGAGCUCCUGCUGCAUGGUGGGGGUUGGAAAGUUUCGGCGGUUGGGGAUGGACUCGCGGCUUAUCAGCUUGUUGGUGGGGUAGUGGCUUACCAAGGCUUUGACGGGUAGCCGGCCUGAGAGGGUGACCGGCCACAUUGGGACUGCGAUACGGCCCAGACUGCUACGGGAGGCAGCAGUGGGGAAUAUUGCACAGUGGGCGGAAGCCUGAGGCAGCAACGCCGCGUGCGGGAUGACGGCCUUCGGGUUGUAAACCGCUUUCGCCUGUGACGAAGCGUGAGUGACGGUAAUGGGUAAAGAAGCACCGGCUAACUACGUG